CCCUGUAUCGAAAGUGACUAUGGUAUGGUGGUUGCCAGGUCAUUGAUACUACAGGAAGAGAGAACUGAAAGUCUUUCCCGUGUUUGUUGGGUGUGCCAUCCCUGUCAGACCCUGUAUCUUUCAGACA
This is a small nucleolar RNA of Megalops cyprinoides (Indo-Pacific tarpon), 127 nucleotides long. RefSeq annotates it as small nucleolar RNA SNORA71. The record is from RefSeq and is a predicted model, not a curated record. The transcript has a single exon. NCBI's taxonomy places the organism in Eukaryota, Metazoa, Chordata, Actinopteri, Elopiformes, Megalopidae.